Molecule: long non-coding RNA, 446 nt
Filed under: Rattus norvegicus (Norway rat)
Lineage: Eukaryota; Metazoa; Chordata; Mammalia; Rodentia; Muridae
Description: long non-coding RNA NONRATT023195
Source: RNAcentral
GGCGAGGCCGGAGCCCCAAAGCGACCGGGAGAACGAGCGGGUAGCGGGCCCAGGGCGGGGCGCAGAGCUGGGCAGCGCAGGUGCCCCGUUCUUCAGCCAGCUUGCCUACUCACUUUCCUGGGCGCUCCUCCACGAUUUCCUGCCUCUCCACCUUUGCUAAUGCUAUUCUCUGUGCCUGGGACGAUACCUUUGACUCAUCUUCGACUGACCUAAUGGAGAGAGCUGGGGCUCUGGAGGCAGAGAGACCUGGGUUUGGAUUUUGGCUUCACCCUUAUUACUUGGACAAGUACUUUGGAAAAGCAUUUAACAUUCUGGAGCCUCCCUCGGUUUCCUAAUCUGUAAAAACGGAGAUAAUGACACCUACCUUGCAGGGUUGUUGUAAGGGUUAACUGAAAUUAUGUGUAUACUGCAAUUAACGUAUAGUCAAUAAAUGACACAUCGCUGUU